This is a long non-coding RNA of Equus quagga, 597 nucleotides long. RefSeq lists it as uncharacterized. NCBI's taxonomy places the organism in Eukaryota, Metazoa, Chordata, Mammalia, Perissodactyla, Equidae. The record is from RefSeq and is a predicted model, not a curated record. The transcript has 3 exons.
GACCAGAGGUCAUGUGGAGGAGCACUGACCACAGAUGCAUGGUGAGCCCAGCAGAGAUCAGCAGAACUUCCCAGAUGAGCCUAGCCCAAAGGGCCAACCUGCAAAAUUGCACGGGACCAGAGCUGCCCCUCCCUCUGGGCAGCAGCCCUUUCUCUCUCUCGGUGGAGCAGCAGUAACUGCUUGGAGACAGAAGGCACCGGCAUUUCCCACCUGAGGCUGUCAAAUGUGCCAGACACACAAUGGUUCCUGAACCGUGAGGACCAUCUCUUUGAAGGUGAAGGCCUGGCUGGAGUAAAGAUAAGGUCCAUCUCCUAACUUUCCCUGUCUCAGAAGAUACAGCCUCUGGAGCAGAGGAAAGGAACUGGCCAUUGGGUUACAAGUGUAACAAGCUCGGACCUAUUCCCGCUGGUCCCUGCCAGGAAUGACCUUCCCCCAGGACUUGCAUGGCCAGCUCCUUCUCUUAAUUCAGGUCUUUGCUAAACUAGAUCUCUCCAUCUCUUAUCCUGGUUUAUUUUCUUCAAAACACUUGUCAGCCUCUCAUGCUAUAUUAUUUACUCAUUUGCUUACAUGAGCUUUGAUGAACAUAGGUUUGUUGGA